UAAGACAGAGGUGCCAAGCGUUAGGCGGAAUCACUGGGCUUAAAGCGUGUGUAGGCGGACUUCUAAGUGCCUUGUGAAAUCCCACGGCUCAACCGUGGAACUGCUGGGCAUACUGGGAGUCUUGAGCCACUUAGGGGCAACCGGAACAAACGGUGGAGCGGUGAAAUGCGUAGAUAUCGUUUGGAACGCCAAUGGUGAAAACAGGUUGCUGGGAGUGUGCUGACGCUGAGACACGAAAGCCAGGGGAGCGAACGGGAUUAGAUACCCCGGUAGUCCUGGCCGUAAACGAUGUCGACUAGAUCGUGGGUUCUCUGACGUUCUCACGGUCGAAGCAAAAGUGCUAAGUCGACCGCCUGGGAAGUACGGUCGCAAGGCUA
RNAcentral lists this ribosomal RNA (377 nucleotides) under uncultured bacterium. RNAcentral describes it as "bacterial SSU rRNA". It matches the Rfam family "Bacterial small subunit ribosomal RNA", at positions 521 to 896 of the family's 1533-position model. The record is from RNAcentral.